Molecule: ribosomal RNA, 248 nt
Filed under: uncultured bacterium
Lineage: Bacteria
Description: partial 16S ribosomal RNA
Rfam family: Bacterial small subunit ribosomal RNA
Source: RNAcentral
AGAUGGCGACCGGCGCACGGGUGAGUAACACGUAUCCAACCUGCCGAUAACUCGGGGAUAGCCUUUCGAAAGAAAGAUUAAUACCCGAUAGUAAUAAUGAAACCGCAUGGUCUUAUUAUUAAAGAAUUUCGGUUAUCGAUGGGGAUGCGUUCCAUUAGGCAGUUGGUGAGGUAACGGCUCACCAAACCUUCGAUGGAUAGGGGUUCUGAGAGGAAGGUCCCCCACAUUGGAACUGAGACACGGUCCAA